RNAcentral lists this ribosomal RNA (504 nucleotides) under uncultured Chloroflexota bacterium. RNAcentral's name for it is "bacterial SSU rRNA". It matches the Rfam family "Bacterial small subunit ribosomal RNA", at positions 355 to 873 of the family's 1533-position model. Lineage: Bacteria; Bacillati; Chloroflexota. The record is from RNAcentral.
CAAGGAAUUUUCCCCAAUGGGCACAAGCCUGAGGGAGCAACGCCGCGUGCAGGACGACGGCCUUCGGGUUGUAAACUGCUUUUGGUGGGGACGAUUGUGACGGUACCCACUGAAUAAGCCCCGGCUAACUCUGUGCCAGCAGCCGCGGUAAGACAGAGGGGGCAAGCGUUGUCCGGACCGACUGGGCGUAAAGGGCGCGCAGGCGGAGCAGGGCGUCGAUGCUGAAAUCGGGCCGCUUAACGGCCCGCGGCGUGUCGAUACGCUUGCUCUGGAGCGCGGGCGAGGGUGGUGGAAUUGCCGGUGUAGUGGUGAAAUGCGUAGAGAUCGGCAGGAACACCCGUGGCGCAAGCGGCCACCUAGCCCGUAGCUGACGCUGAGGCGCGACAGCGUGGGGAGCGAACUGGAUUAGAUACCCAGGUAGUCCACGCCGUAAACGAUGCCGACUCGGUAUCCGGCUGGCAACCGCCGGCGGGUCGCCCAGCUUACGCGGUAAGUCGGCCGCCG